UGCCUACCACACCAUGGCUUGCCAAGCGGUGCCAUGUCCGUACCCAGGAUCCAAACCGGUGAACCCCGGGCUGCUGAAGCAGAACAUGCGCACUUAACUGCUGCAUCACUGGGCCAGCCCCCUAGAUCAGACUUUUGAUUCUUUUAAUGGCUGUGAUAUAAAAACUUUAGGACAUUAAGCUUAAAGCAGUACAUUUCUUGUAUCCUUUAUUCUAUGUCUAACGUGAUGCCGAAAUAAUAUUUAAGUAUUAGGUAUUCUCCUCCUCUUCUGCUUAAAAGUGAUAGUCUAGGUAUCCAAUGGUGCUGCUUCCCAGGACUGCCGCUGCUCACUCAGCAGAGGGUGCAUGGUGGGCAGGGCUGAGAUGAUGUUAGCUGAGCCCCUGAAGCAGUAUCUGGCUUGCAUUUCCAACACGCGUUCCGACUCAUUUUUUCCCUUGAGCAGCAGCCGUGGACCUGUGCUAAAACGCAGUCACAGCUUCCUCUUGUCUUAUUUGGAUUACAAAUGGACAAGCUGCUCCUUUAUUUAUCUAAAAAGACAACAGUGUCAAGGGGUCAAAAGUCCCAUUUGGAGGCUUGUAUGAGGAUCCUACAUCAUUGUCCCAACUGUUGACAGAGGGAAAUCAGCCUUCGCUAGAAAUAAAGAGACAGGAGCCCAGCAGCAGAGCUGACAGUGCUGUCCACGUUGCUGGUGUUUUCGCUGAGUGGCCCCAGGGCAGCCUUUCCUCACAGGCCCCACCUUCACGUGUGUGGCAUAACCAGUCAGGCAAUGCUCUCCUCACCCUGGUCCCAGACGCACUGUUUCUCCCAGGAAUUCCUGAGUUUCUAAGUGGUCCCUGUUCCCCAAUACUGAUACAGACUUUCCCCAUUUCUCUGUUUCUUUGGUCCACUCAGGAAGCCUCUUGGAGGAAGGGGAGUGAAGGGUGUGGGCUCAGGUGGCCACUGAAAUGGCCCCACACUGCACAUUCAAGGCCCUCUUUGAGCAGGGCCAGUGUGGCAGUUGCAUUUGAAGGCUCUCUGUUCUGAUUCUGCCAGCACACUCAUGAUCUGCCUUUCCUUCUCGUCUGUACCAUGCCUCCAGGCCCUGUGGCAGGUGUCAGGACACUGGCCCUUUCCUCAUGGUGACAGGUGUUCCUGUCCCUGGCUGCCCCGUUCUCCUGGUGACUCAGAUGGAAGCCUGGGAUUUCAACUCAGGUUUUCAUGGCUUUCCCUCUUGGAGUCCACACUUAAGAGCUUUUGCCCUAAAGUCAGGUUGAGCGUCAGAUCCUAGUGCUGCAUCUCCAGAUAAAGUCCUGCUGGGAAAGGCAAAUGAUCAAGGAAUGAGGCCAGAAGGAAAAGGACAGGGUGUGGCCCUCAGGGCUGCCCUGGAGGAACUGAAAGAUGACGAGGAGGAACAUUUUCUAAUAAAAACUGGUGGAAACCUCUUGAGUGUGUCCAGAGUCUAGGUGACCUUGAGGCUGAGAGACCUUCGGAGUGACGUGCUAAGGUCUCAAGUGCCCGCUUCAUGGGCUUGCUAGGUCAGUGGUUCGCACACGUCAGCCUGAGUCAGAGUCAGCUGGAGUCUGGUUAAAGCAGACACUGGCUCCAGCCCCAGCCUUUCUGACUCUGGGUAGGUCUAGGAUGAGGCUUGAAAAUUUGUGUUUCUAACAAGUUCCUGGGCCAUGUUAAUGCUGCUGGAGCAGGGACCACACUUUGAGAACCGCUGCUCUAGUUAGUCCCGUUUUUCUUCUGCAGUGAGGCUGUUGGGGUCCGCCUCCUCCUGCUGAGUCACCUACUCCUGCCCGUCAGAAGUGUGAGCUCCUGCCACCCCAGGGUGUUGCACCACCUGUUCUGUUACAGGCAUACCUCGCUCUAUUAUGCUUCGCUUCAUCGUGCUUUGCAGAUACUGCCUUUCUUACAAGACCCUCCAUCAGCAAAAGGAUUACGACUCACUGAAGGCUCAGAUUCUGGUUGGCAUGUUUUAGCAAUACUGUAUUUUUUGAUUAAGCUAUGUACGGUGUUUUUUAGACAUAAUGCCAUUGCAUAUUUAAUAGACUACAGUAUAGCGUAAACUUGACUUUUAUAUGCACUGGGAAACAAGAAAUUUGUGUGACUCUAUUGCAAUAUUUGCUGUAUUGCAGUGUUCUGGAACCGAACCUACAGUAUCUCAGGUCUGCCUGUACUGCAGGUCACGUGGGGCCCUUGCUAGGUAACUUGAAGGGAAAUCAGAGGAGCAUCAGAGAAUCACCUGUCUCCUGCCACAGGUUUAAAAUGCAGAUCCCUGGGCCCCACCAUCAGAGAUUCUGCUCCAGCAGAGUUGACCUGAGGCCUGGAAAUCCACAUUUCUAACAGUGAGCAAAACGUCUGCUGGGACCAUGCAGGAGAGGCCUGGAAGCGUGAGCUCACUCUGCCAGGAUCCCCAAAGAAGAGGACAAGUGCAGAGUAUUGUCUCCUUUAAGGUAGGUGGGAGCAAGGAACAAUAGUGAGCCUCGGGACUUGGGGAGGAGUGUGUGUGAGAGAAAACACACACACACACACACACACACACACACACACACACACACCCCCACCCCCCCCCCGCAGGAACUAGAGCUACCAGGGGCAGAAAGUGAAGAAAUCCACCGGGAGCAGGUGUAAGCUCCAAGAGAGCAGGGGUCUUGCUGUUGUGUUCGUUGCUGUAUCCUCUGCACCUCCAUCAAGGCCCAACACGUGCUUCUGAAUGAAUGUGAGCACGAGUGGCUUCUGGUGAGAGUGCGCUGCCCCAGGAAACAGAUAACAUCACGCUUCCAAGACCAAAAUGACAAAAACAAGACACAAUUUUUUGUUUGGGGAACUAAAAAAAUCCCUUAGUUUUGAAAUUUGAAAUCUUAAUGGAAAAAUUUAAAUAUGCUAUGAUAAUAUUGUGAACUAUGUUUGUGGGCUGGGAGAUCAAGUGGAAGAAAUCAUCAAAUUUUACACAAAGGGUCAAAGAACUGGAAAUAAUGGAGUAGAGGAGAGGCUCAGACUCAAAUCUGUGAAUAUAAGGAGAAGGCAACAUCAUGGGAGGAGGGGAAAUAAUUAUAGAAGUAAUUGAGGAAAAUUUCCACAGUUUGGGAAAAGAGUCUGCAGAUUAGAAGGGUCCACUAAAUUCUAGCUGGAGUUACGGGCAAAGGCAUACACCUAGGCAUAGCCUAUACAAAGUAUUGAAUUUCAAGGAUAAAAACUGUUACAAGCAUCCAGAAGAAUAAAUACUUGGAAAGUAAAAGGAACCAGGCUAGUAGCAGACUGUCAUCUGUAGCACUGGGAGCUUGGAGACAGUGACAUUCCCAGGCUCUGAGGAGAGAGGACUGUCAGAACCAAUUAUCCUGAGCCCAGCCGUAUGACCCCCUCUCGGGUUGAGGCAGCCUGACUGUGUGUGUUAGCCCCCCUGCAGCCUGUUCAUGGGCACUUCAGUGCCUCACCUCACGUCCACGUGGGUGAGUGAGAUGGUCCAGGCAUGAGCCUUUUAAAGGACUGGUCAGGUGGAGGCUGGGCGUGCAGAGGUAGAGCAGGUGUAUCUAGCCGAUAGACGUGGGGUCUGUCAUCAAAUGAAGUGGUGACUAUAGCUCAGAAUCUUAGCAAACUGAAAUUGAUCAGCCCCUUAGAGAUCAUCUAAUCAGUCAUCCCAUUUCACAGAUGAAGAAACUGAGGCCCAUUGAGAAAUGAUUUUCACAAGGUGUCAGAAGUAAUGACAAGCAGAGUAAGGACUGGAAUCCCUGUCUCUUGACUCCAAUUUGGUAUUUUUGUUAUUAAACUCUUUACUCACAUUCUAUAUGGGUAGAUAAAUUCCACUUUUUUACCCUAUAUCUAUUUACAGAUACGUAGCUACACAUAUAAUAUUCUUUCACCAUUUAAUCAUUGGAUCAAGAAGUGUUUACUGAACACAGGAGGUGAACUAGACGUACAUUGUCCUGGUCAUUAUGAAACUUAGUUUCUAAACUAAACUUUCAAAAGGAUUUCCAUACUAUCAUUAAGAGACAUCAGCCAGUCUUUCCUUCCUAUCAGUAGCAACUCAAGAGAUGCAGUCUUCCAUGGCUACCAGGAUUCAAUAGAAAGUGCCCAAACUGGAGUAGCAGUUCUAUCAUUGUCCCCAUCGACUCCUCCCUGAAUCCAUACACGUUGCCAAGUGACUCAGCAGUUCCUUCCAUGCAAGGUGGAGAAUAUGUCCACAGUCUACUGUUAUUGGGCUUGGCCAUGGAAUUGCUUUGGCCGAUGGAAUGUGGGUGGAGGUGACGGGGUACCAGUUCUGAGCUGCUCACUGAGUUUCUGCUCACCCCUCUUUCAUUUCUGCCACUCCCAUGAGAAGAACAUGCCCAAGUUAGCUCACAGGUCCCAGAAGAAUAAAGGAAAGUAGAGCAGAGCACACCCCAGCCUUCCGCAGCCUGAUGCACAGGUGCCCCAGCUGGUCUGUACGACUGUGAGCGUGAUAACGUAUGCUGCUGCUUGUAUGCCAUGGACUUCCGAGGUGGUUUGUCAUGCAGCAGGCGCAAACUAACACAUUGAACAGCGUGCCGCAGCUCUCCCAGAUCCAGCUCUGGUUACCAGGAAGACAACCACCAUUCCACCAAGAAUCAGCCUUCCCUCAGCCUUUCCAGUCUUCACUUCUGGCUGCCUUCAGUGAUCUCUCUUGAAGAAACAACGGCUUGGUUCUUGUGUGCAUUCUGCAUUUCAACACAGUAAGCCCAACAUCAAUCAUUGAAAAUGAUAAUGGGUAACCCCAAGAACUCUGCAAUGGCUUCCUGCACCCCUUAACAGGUGGAUAUGCUAUCACGUUAUUAGCACACAUCAGGGCACACAAUAGGUUGACUAAGCAUGGGCUAAGAGGACCACGAAGCAAAGAUGCAAAAAAAUAUAUUUUGAAGGAAUCUGAUAUGUUUUUUAAAAAGUAUGAGAAAAA
Non-coding RNA from Equus caballus (horse), 4890 nucleotides. The record is from RefSeq and is a predicted model, not a curated record. Lineage: Eukaryota; Metazoa; Chordata; Mammalia; Perissodactyla; Equidae.